UGACCAUUUUCACCUGGGUGUUGUCAAAACCGUAGCUUUUAAAUAAGCCAAGGACGGAGUCAGGCUGGUGGCGGGAUUCGAUGCGGCCAAGGAGCUUCGAGGCCUUGGCCGCCUCAUCCGGAUCGAAGCCACAGGAGCUGACCAGGUAUUCAGCCAUGAAGCUGCUCUGUGGAGCACCGGAGGCGGCGGAAUAAGAAUGGGUUGAGAGAAAAACGGCAGCAUCGGCCGGACGACGGCGAGGGAUGAAGGUGAGGGCUUUGAACAAGAGAGAGACGAACGGCGACCUAUUCAUCAACGUCAUCGUCGUCUACUUCUCCUUCUUUGUAUGUUCCUUCUCUUCUCCAAGACCUAGCGAUGGUGGUGUUGCUGCGUCGGGAGGAAACUGGCCGGAAAUACCUGCAUCCGAAACCCUAGUAGUGCGCCACUGUAUCCGAGGAACUCUUUUGUUCGGUCGGAGAUUUCUGCGACCGCAGGCCUCUUUUUUCCUUCGUUAGCUUUUACUGUGUGCCAACUACAAAUAGUAGAUGAAUGAACACUCGUCUUCACUUUCUCUUCGGUCGGAGAUUUCUGCGACCGCAGACCUCCAUUUUUUUUUUGUUUUUCUUCGGCAACUUUAAUCGUGUGCAUCUUCAAAAAUAAAUGAAUGAACACUAGCGAAGUCAACUCUUUUCUUCCAUUCGAGAUUUCUACGAACACAAACAUCUUUUCCUUCGUCAACUUUUAUCGAUUGAUAACUAAAAAUGAUAAAUGAAUGAACACUAGUAAAGUUCACUCUUUUCUUCAAUCGAGGAUUUCUGCAAGCCACUUUUUCUUUGUCAAUUUUUAUUUAGUGCCAACUAAAAAUAAUAGUAAAUGAAUGAGCACUAAUAAAGCCAUAAUCCUCAUAAAAAUCGAUGGGUUAAUAAUUAUGCUACCUAAAUUAUAAAAUUAAAUCAACUAUAGUAUUUUCAUUUAAGGGUAUCUUCUCAAAAUAAUCACUCAUUAUUAAUUUUUUAAUCAUAAAAUACUAAUUAUUAAAUUUUUAUGGAAUGAUAUCCUUAUAUUCGCUUUUGUUUAUGGCACUUAUUUUAUUUUCUAAGUCAAUCAUAAUGCGUGAAUCAAUUCUUUUAAAAAUGAACUAAUCCAAUCUACAUAAUCCUACUUAACCUAGUUUAGUUUAAUAGAACCUUAAUUUAUCUCUUAUUCUCCAUUAAGUAAUCUCAUGUAACGUGAUCUCCAAUAAAAUGAGAGAUUUUUCAUCAUUGAUUAUUCACUGGUCACCAAAAUUAAUUUGUUGGAAUCUUCGUUCCUGUAAACGAGCAAUGUGGUAUGGGUAGGCUUUGUGUUGCAUUGGUCAAAUCCUCUACUGUAUUGAUAAAGCAUUCGUAAAAAAACUUUUCCACUAUAUUCACGAAAUAUUCAUGCAAGGCUUCGCUAUUGUGUUGCCUAAGAAUUCAUGGAACGCAUUGUGGAAGCCUUCAAUGCAUCACUAAAGACCUCUUUGUUGCUUUGCCAAAACAUUUAUAGUACGAUUCUAAUUCCCAUAGUCUAGAUUCCUAACGUGGUUAUCGUGAAACUUGUCUUCUCUAUAAUGAGUUGCUCGUUAGUCGAGGAAAAGUGGUGAGAAGCAUCGUUAGUUUAAAAUUUGCCAAAGCUAUGGUUUGUAGUGUUGUUUGGAUUUUUUAUUGACUUAAAAUAUUAUUCUCAAAUUAUUUAAAGGUUAAAAUAUUAGUCUUAUAAAGCUUUUUUUAAGAUGAGAAUUGAGUGGUUUUAUAGAGCACUUAUGGUACUUUUGUCUUUUCAAGUACCAUAACUUGAAAACUUUUGUCUUUUCAAGUAGUGAUAUACUUCCACACAAUUUCAAACUUUAAAUAUUGAAUUGGGAAGUAAAUCAAGUUAGGAUCUACUUUCUCAUAACUUUAAACUUUAAUCUAUAUUUUAGGAAGCAAUCAUGAGAUACAUGAUUAGAUUAGAGGAUCUAUUUUCGCAUAAAUCUAAAUGUGUAACUUUGAUCUGAAUGAGACAUUUGUAAUAGAUGAGAAUGAAAGUAGUUAUAAGAUAUUUGAAGCAUUUUGAACUAUUAUUAAUAUUAAAGUAGUUAUCUAUACAAGUUUUUAGCAAAUAUGACAUAAUAUUAUAAAGCAUUUUGAACUAUUAUUAAUAUUAAAUAUGAAGUUAACAUUGCACAAUUGAUCUUACAAUCCUUAUUAUAAUCAUGUUUUAGUUCAAUUAUGAAAGUGGACUUUAGUUGAAUUAGAAUCAUGUUUUAGUUAAGUUAUCAUUCAAGUAAGACAUCACAAUCCUACCCCAAUAAUGUGCCAAAUUUUUUUAAUAUCUUAAGAUCCUAAAAAAAUGAUGUUAAUCAUCUUAUGCUUAUAGCCAAAUAGUUUAAUAAAAGUUUGAACUAGUUUAGUGGAAGCUGUCCAAGUCAUAGUCAAAAUUUAAUGAAGUUACACUUGAUCACUAUAUAUUUUCAAAAAAAAUAAUUUUGAUAAUUAAUUAUCUCUAACAAUAGAAAAAAUAUAGUAUUAAUCAUCUUAGAAUCAUGUCCUAGGUUUUGUGAAAGUUUAGGUUGGUUUGUUAAGUUACAUUCAAGAUUGAACUAAGUUAUAUCUGAUUAGAGCAGGUAUUAAAAAAACCUCUAAUUUAAAUAAUUAAAUAUCAUAAAAAUUUUAAAUAUAAAAAAUGAUACUAAAAUUUUUAUAUUUAAUUAUUUAAAAUAUAAAAAAAUUUAAAUAAUUAAAUUACCUAUUGGUUGAAGUUGACCCAACAUUUAUAUAUGAUAUAAAUACUUUUCAAAUAUCACUUUUACAUAAAAGAAAUAUUUAGCAAAUUUCGUAUGUAGUACACAUCAUAGUAGCAACACAGCAAAACAUAUCAUUCAACUUUCAGGACAAUGACAUAUAAUUAUAUAUAAUAGGAACAACGUACAGUAGUGACACAUCAAACACAUAUCAUUCAAUUUUCACGAUAUACAUACAUACAUACAUACAUACAUAGUGAAACAUAUGUGCAUAUUUUAGUAAACAUCAUAGUACUCGCACACCAAAGCUAUAUAAUCCAACUUUCACAACAAUGACAUAUAAUUAUAUACCAUAUGAACAAUGACAUACAAUUAUAAAUGAUAUGAGCAUGCGCUACACACACCAAAUACAAGUAAAAUGACAUUCACAUUAGUAUUCUAUUACAUGUUUGACAUACUACCAAUUAUGGUAGUAGAUGUCAAAACAACAUAUCUCAUAUCUAAUGAGUAAAAAUAUCACAUUAUCACAAUCAAUUAAUGAGUAAAAUUUCUUAUCAUUUGAAAAAUCAACCGAACUUAAAACCUAAAUUACCAAAUAUCCAUAAUCAAAUCAAUUAAAAAAAUUCAGGUGUACAACAACCUGCAUAAGUCUGAUAUCUUCUGGUAGACUUAUGAAGAACAGGACAAGAAUAGUAAUUCCAUGCAGUGUCUACAAAAGAAUUAAGCAAUUAACCCUAUUGACAAUAUCAUGGCAAAUCUUCUCAUCAUUCUUCAUUUUUUUUACUACUUGUAUGCAUACAAGUUCAUCUUAAAUUCACCAAAAAAAAGUAAAUGACAGGAAUCACACUGCAUGGUUGCAAACUGCAGAUCAAGUUAAGCAGACAGUGAAAAAUUGGAACCUGGAAACACAACUUGCUGGUACAAAACCUUACACCAUGCAUUAUGCACUUACAGGAUCAAAGAGUAGGUCUGUUUUUCAUACAAUUCAAUGAGUUCUGGCACUCGUAGCAGAUGAUGAUCUUCCUCCAGAAAUUUCUUCUCUGGAUAUUUCAUGUAUGUGUAUAUUUGGAGGUCACCGAUGCAAAUUCUCCUGGACUUGAUGCCCAACAACAUCCAAUACAUUGGAACCAACCUUUUCUCCAAACUCAUCAACAAAAAUCACUGACCGAGGUACAAGAUAAGAUGGAGCAUAUUUGGCUUCAUUUACCAAGAACUCCAUGUUCUUCUCUUUAAAGAACCUGCCAUAAGUGUAAGAGCCUUUUUGAAUACAAGCAGCAAAUCAUCUAACCACCCGAAGCUCUUAAAGAACUCCAAGUGAGCGUUGAAAAUUUUCUUGCUGAUUGUCUGGAGCACCCUUAGAGCUCGAUGGAACAUCCCUGGGGUAUAGGCUAUUCCCAAACUCUCGACAUGACUAAUUAACACCUUCAGAGUUUCAGCCUUCUAGAAUAUCAGGCGAGGGUAGUGCCAUAGGAUCUCACAAUCCCUUAGAUCUAAAUGUUAGGCUGGAUCCUCUUCUCGAUGCUAUACCCGAGAAACUAGCGAUCUUUCUUGUAUAACUUCACCAAAAAUUCAUUGGACCUGAAGAGGCCUUACCGUAACUGGAUCUUGGACACGAUAGCCUGGAAUUUUUGGUUGAUGACGAUAGGAUUUGAUUUGACGAGAUGGGUGAUGUUGGAGUAGGAGAAGCCCAAAUCUUACAAAGCUCCAAAUUUUGAGGCUAGAGUCCUCUCCACGUCAAGGAGAAGCCACUAGUGGUUUAAAGAUAUGACCCUUUUCAUUUGAGCAUUAUCAAAACCAUAGCUUUUGAAGAAGCCAAGGAUAGAGUAAGGCUAAUGGCGGGAUUCGAUGCGGCAAAGGAGCUUCGAGGCCUUGGCCGUCUCAUCCAGAACGAAGUCACAGGAGCCAACUAGGUAUUCAACCAUGAGGUUGCUCUGUGGAGCCCCGAAAGUGGCGAAGUAAGAAUUGAUUGAAAGAAAAAAAGCAACGGUCAAACAACAACGAGGGAUGAAGGUAAAGGCAAGAGAGAAAAGUAAUACAACCUAUUGAUCAAUGUCAUCGUCUUUUUCUUCUUUUUUGUAUGUUCCUUCGCCAAAACCUAGCAAAGGUGGUAUUGCCAUAUCCUAGAAGAGCACGUUUGGGUCAAAAGUACUUGUAACCUAACUCUUGGAAGUUCGUUACAGUGUUCAAGGAAAUUAUUUUUUUAUCGAUCAAAGAUUUCUACGACUACAGUCAUCUUUUUAUAAUUAAAAAUAAUAAAUAAAUAAAUAAACGACAUGUGAGUCCUAAUGCUUAUAAAAGUUGAUGGAUUAAUAAUUAUACUACCUAAAUUAUAAAAUAAAAUAAAUGAUAAUAUUCUUAUUUAAAGAUAUUUUAUUGUAAAAGUCUCAUUUUGAAUUAAGAUCCAUUUUAUUCCCUAUGAUUUUGAUCAUUGAUCACUUAAACUUUUACGAUUUAGUCAUGUAUAUAAUAAUCUAUAUAUUUUUAAAAAUGUAACAUAUAAGCUCCUCCCGUUAAGUCUGAGUUAACAAACAUUAAAAUAUACUUACGUGAUAUAUUAACUCAUAAUAAAUUAUUAAUAAAAUAACAUAAAUUAUAUAUAUAUAUAUAUAUAAAGAGAAUUAGUUUUUUUGCUACUGCAACAACUUUUGUUGGAAAAAUAUCUCCAUCAAGCAACUAGAUGCCUUAUCCAUCAACUAGUUCUCAGGCAAGAAAGUACAUAAUAUAAUUCUUGGCUGACAACAAGUCAAGCCUUUGUCAAAAACACAAUAUCUAUGAUGAUCAACAAACAUUAGGGUACAAAUCCUCUAUAUCAUCUGUUGAUCCCAUGACUCAACAAAGAUGAAAAAUUAUCCAGAAAAUUCUAAUUUCUGUCACAAGAUACAAGUGGUGCUUCUGUUUUGUUUGACAGAGUACCUACCUACAAAAGACACUGCGACUAUCAUCAUUUCUCCUAGGCCAAUGAUGCAUCAAAACCUAAACGAAAGCACAAAGCAAAAGAUUAGAACUCAGAGAUAUACGACAUUUACCAGAUAUUAGCAUGCUACAAUACCUCAGGGAAUAUUAUUUUGAUGAAUUUGUCCAGAGACAAUAAUACAUCAAAACCUCAAGAUGAGGAACAUGCCAAAAGAUUAGGACUCGGACAUAUGGCUGAGACUAGCAUGCUAUACUACAACAGAAUAGCAUAAAUAAGAAUCUGGAGAGCUAAGGGCUGGAAUAAAAUUCCAGAUUACAUGCUGCUAUUAGGCAAUAAAUAUAUAGAUGCUCUAUAGCAGCAUUGAAACACAAGUUUGUAACAUAAAAACAACCUGCAUAAUUUGACAUGUUAACUAGACCUUCAGAUCACCUUUGUGUUUUAUAGCUCUUACAGCUUUGACAAUAAUAAAUCUAUAGAUGCUCUAUUGUAGCUCUAUAGUAGCAUUGAACCACAAGUUUGUAACAUAAAACCAACCUGCAUUAUUUGACAUUAAGGAUGCAAAAGAAGCAUACAGUGGCAAGUGCAAGUUGAAAUUGUGGAUUUUCAUAGUACAAAAACCAGUAUAACUACAAAUUCAAAUGCUUAAAAAAUUUUCUAGAUUUUUUCUUUUCUAACUUUCUGUAUUAACUGUCCAUGAAAUUUAUGUAAAAAACAUGGUCUGCAGUACCGGACUGUAUCGCCCGGUACGGGCGGUACGUACCGGUCCGACAGGUUUCCGGUACGCGGACCGCCUGUUACCGGUAUGUAGCACUGUAGCAGUACUACAGUGCUCGGCAUGCCUGAAUAUACCGCUCGGUACAUCUGGGUGUACCGCUCAGUAUACCGUAUCGUACCGGUACCGAGUCCAGGUCGAAACUCCGGUACGGUACGGUAUUGCGGACUUUGAUAAAAAAUAUCUUCAACACUGUAAAUUAGAUACCAAAUCAGCAAAUUUAUGCGGACAAAUAUCGAAGAGACCGAAGAUUAUUCGUGCCAAUUUAGUUAGAAUCUCUCCUGAUAAAAUCUGCUUAAUUUGCCGACAAAUGAUCUAAAUCAGCUAAUCUAAAGUGGUCAUCACUUUUAUUCCUUUUCCCCAGUAAGUCAAAUCUUUCAUUCUUAAGGUAAAAAGGAAACAUGGUUGGCAUCACUUUGGAAGGUCCUCACGAAAACUUUCGCUGCCUAUCCGAUUCCUUGUUUUGUGCCUUGAAGUAGUGGGUCUUUUACGGUUUUGCAGCAACACUGAGAGCUCUUCUUUUCUUUACUGAACAAUGAGCACGAAUCUCUGCCUAUGGCCAAAAUUCCAUUACUGAAUAAUUCUCAUUGCCAACAAUUGAAACAACAUCCCAUCAAGUCUCAUCAUUAUUAAUAUAGUAAACGUCUAACUAUAAUUUUAUUAGAAAAUCAGCUAAGGAUUUCACCUUGACGGAACAGAACACUUCUUCAAUCCUUAGCUCCCAAGCUAUGGACCAUCUGAAAUAUGUAAUUUCAGCUCGAUAGGGAUUAUCUUAGUAGAAACAGGACGUCAAAAAAUCCAAUCAUGUGUCAUGCAAUCAGCUUAUAAGAAUCAUAAUAUGAAAAGGCAAGCAUAAACUAGAAUAGAAGAUCUCAUAAGUUCAUCAUGAGAACAGCACAUCCAGCAAUGCGCUUAGCUGUAACAGAACUUGUCCGACAACUCGGGAUGAAACAAGCUCCUUAUAGAUUAAGAACUCAAUUCAUAUCACAUUCCAAGCUAUUACUUCAUUACACGAAUGGAAUGGUGCACCACUCACAAUGGUAGAAACACGUCUACAAUCUCUUAUCAUCAUGUUGGAAGACUACUAAUCCCAUUCGAAACUGCCUACUAAUGCUGUCAAUCUUGUUCAUCAAACUAAUCAAUUAAGAAAGAGAACAAAAUUUGACAAACAAAAUACACAAAAAGAGGAUGAUACUCAACAUCGUUUCUCUUUUUUGGGUUUUGGAUUUGGAUAGGAGAGUAGCAAAGUUAUAUAAAAGGUGACCGACCCUUACCCUAAAUCAAAAGGUUCAUCCUCCACCUCAAAAUCACCUAAGCGUCCUACCCAGUCAUCCAAAAGAAUCCUACUUCUUAUCAUUUCGAAAAUUAACCAAAACUCAAACCUAAUUACCUAAUAUCCAUAGCCAAAUCAAUUAAAACAUUUAGGGGUCGAACAACCUACAUAAGUUUGAUAUCUUCCAGUAGACUUCAAACGAACAAGACAAGAAUAACAACCACAUCUAUAGAAAGUGAUUCUCAUCAUUCUUCAUUUUCUUGCUGCAUGUGUGCAUCCAAGUUCAUCUAACAUUCACAAAGAACGAAAGUAAAUGGCAGGAAUUAUUUGGUUGCAAACUGCAGAUUAAAGUUGAAUGGCAGGAAUCACACUACAUGGAUGCAAACAGUUAUGCAGAGUGGAAAAUUAGAACCUGGAAACACAACUUGCUGGCACAAUACCUUGCACCAUGCAUUAUGCACUCGCAGGAUCAAAGAGCAGUUCUGUUUUUUGGGGCUUCAUUAUACAAUUCAAUGAGUUCUGGAAACUCAGUGUGGCGGAUGACAAACUUCUCCAGAAAUUUCUUCUCUGGAUAUAACAUGUAUGUGAUCAUUUGGUGGUUACCGAUGUGAACUCCCCUUGACUUCAGGACCGUCAAUAUCCGAUAUCUUGGAAUCAACCUUUUCUCCAAACUCAUCAACAAAAUCCGUGGCCGGGGUGCAAGAUAAGACGGAGCGCAUCUGGUUUCAUUUACCAAGAACUCCAUCUUUCUCUGCAAACUCUUUAAAGAAAAUCCCACAAGACAAGGAGCCUUUCUGAAUGCAGCAAGGAAAUCAUCCUUGGACCACCCGAAACCCUCGAAGAACUCCAAGUGAGCCUUGAAGUUCUUCUCGGAGACGCUUUUGAGCGCAUUCAGGGUGUGGAGGAACAUCCCUGAGGUGCGAGCUACUCCCAAACCCUCGACACGACUGAUUAACGCCUUCAGGGUUUCAGCCUUAAGGGUUCCGAGGAGUGGGCGGUACCGAAGGAUCAUUGAGAGCUUCUGAUCCGUUAUCCCGCAAUCCCUUAGAAUUUCAAUGUUAGGCUGGAUCGUCUUCUCGAUGCUAUACCCGAGAAACCACCUGUGUUUCUUGCAUACCUUCACCAGUAAGUCGUUGGACCCGAGGAGGCCUUGCCAUAAUUGGAUCUUGGACAAGAUGGUCUGGGAUUUGUAGCUGAAGGCGUGGUUAUUCGAUAUGACGAGGUGGGUGAUGUCGGAGCAGGAGAAGCCCAGAUCCUGCAAAGCUCGGAACUUUGGGGCCAGGGUCUUCUCCACGUCGAGGAGAAGCCACCGGGGGUUUGCAGAUAUGACCUUUUUCACCUGGGUGUCGUCAAAACCGUAGCUUUUAAAUAAGCCAAGGACGGAGUCAGGCUGGUGGCGGGAUUCGAUGCGGCCAAGGAGCUUCAAGGCCUUGGCCGCCUCAUCCGGAUCGAAGCCACAGGAGCUGACAAGGUAUUCGGCCAUGAGGUUGCUUUGUGGAGCCCUGGAGGCGGCGGAAUAAGAAUGGGUUGAGAGAAAAACGGCAGCAUCGGCCGGGCGACGGCGAGGGAUGAAGGUGAGGGCUUUGAACAAGAGAGAGACGUACAGCGACCUAUUCAUCAACGUCAUCGUCGUCUACUUCUCCUUCUUUGUAUGUUCCUUCUCUUCACCAAGACCUAGCGAUGGUGGUGUUGCUGCGUCUGAAGGAAACUGGCCGGAAGUACCUGCUUCCAAAACCCUAGAAGUGCGUCACUGUGUCCGAGGAACUCUUUUGUUCGGUCGGAGAUUUCUGCGACCGCAUGCUAUUUUUUUUUUCUUCGGCUACUUUUAUCGUGUGCCAACGUAAAAAAAAAAUAAAUAAAUGAACGAAUCCGAUCUACAUAAUCCUACUUAACCAUAUUUAGUUUAAUAUAACCCUAAUUUACCUCUUAUUCUUCGCAAAGUUACCUCAUAAUAAAACGAGAUAUGCUUCAUUGAUAAAGCAGAAGUUUUUAUUAUUGCAUUAGCUAAAUUCAAAGCAUUCCAAAUUGCUUUUGCAUAUUGUUCCACUAUAUAAACAUCAUAAAGCUGAAAUACUGAUCACCUGAAAUAUGUAAUUUUCAGAUCGAUAGGAUUAUCUUAGUAGAAAUAAGAUGUCAAGAAAUCUAAUUGUCUCAUGCAAUCAGCUAAAGAUAAGAAUAAUAAUGAAAAAAGAGCAUAAAUUAGAAUAAAAGAUCUCACAAAUUCAUCAUGUGAAAAGCACAUCCAUCGGUGCACUUUGCGGCAUCAAAACUCGUCUGACUGCUCAGGAUGAAGAAACCUCCUUACAGACUAAAUUCAUAUCACAUUCCCUGCUAUUAGUCCAUUACUAGGAUCAAGUGGUGCCCGGCAACAGUAGAAAUACGUCUUUCUAUAGACGCAAGGAAUAUCUUAUAAGCUUGUUUGAUGACUACUAAUCCCUUUCAAAAUUGCCUACUAAUAAUGACAAUGUUGUUCAAUCAUCCAUAUAUGUAUACAUCAACAUGCUGCACAACCAUGCAACAACAUCCUUUCACAUGCUCAAGCGUCCAACUUAUGCAUCAUGACACUUCUAACAAAUAUUAAUAUGCGUCAAUUAUAGGCUACAAUAGACGCAUCAAUAUAAAAUUGAUUGCCAAAAGAAAUAUGGUUACCAUACCAUCCAAAAGAAUCCUACUUCUUAUCAUUUGAAAAAAUAACCAAAACUCGAAACCUAAAUUACCAAAUAUCCAUAGUCAAAUCAAUUCAAAACUUCAGGUGUCCAAUAACCUACAUAAGUCUGAUAUCUUCCAGUAGACUUAAAACGAAUGGGACAAGAAUAACAAUUCCAUGUGGCCUCUACACAAAUGAUUAUCAACAAGCAAUUAACUCUAUCGGCAAUAUCAUCACAAAUCUUCUCAACAUUCUUCAUUUUCUUACUACAUGUAAGCAUCCAAACUCAUCUUACAUUCACAGAAAACGAAGUAAAUGGCAGGAAUUAUUUGGUUGCAAACUGUAGAUCAUGUUAUGCGGAUAGUGGAAAAUUGGAACCUGAAAACAUAACUUGCUGGCACAAAAGCUUGUGCUAUGCAUUAUGCAUUUCCACGAUCAAAUGCAGUUCUGUUUUUGGGGACUCCAUUAUACAACUCAAUGAGUUCUGGAUACUCCUUGUAGCAGUUGACGAACUUCUCCAGAAAUUGUUUCUCUGUAUAUUUCAUGUAUGUCAAUAUACUAAGGUUACUGAUGCAAACUCCCCUAGACUUCAGGCCUGUCACAAUCCGAUGCCUUGGCAUCAACUUUUUCUCCAAACUCAUCAACAAAAAAUCUGGCCGAAGUGCAAGAUAAGAUGGAGCACAUCCAGCUUCANNNNNNNNNNNNNNNNNNNNUUCGAUCUGACGAGGUGGGUGAUGUCGGAGCAGGAGAAGCCCAGAUCCUGCAAAGCUCGGAACUUUGGGGCCAGGGUCUUCUCCACGUCGAGGAGAAGCCACCGGGGGUUUGCAGAUAUGACCUUUUUCACCUGGGUGUUGUCAAAACCGUAGCUUUUAAAUAAGCCAAGGACGGAGUCAGGCUGGUGGCGGGAUUCGACGCGGCCAAGGAGCUUCGAGGCUUUGGCCGCCUGAUCAGGAUGGAAGCCACAGGAGCUGACCAGGUAUUCAGCCAUAAGGCUGCUCUCUGGAGCACCGGAGGCGGCGGAAUAAGAAUGGGUUGCGAGAAAAAGGGCAGCAUUGGCCGGACGACAGCAAGGGACGAAGGCAAGGGCUUUGGACAAGAGAGAGACGUAGGGCGACCUAUUCAUCAUUGUCAUCGUCUUCUUCUUCUUUGUAGGUUCCUUCUCUUUACCAAAACCAAGC
Molecule: long non-coding RNA, 11506 nt
Filed under: Musa acuminata (dwarf banana)
Lineage: Eukaryota; Viridiplantae; Streptophyta; Magnoliopsida; Zingiberales; Musaceae
Description: long non-coding RNA (MACU_LNC001705)
Source: RNAcentral